GCCUGCCCGGUGCCUGAAGGUUAAAAGGAGGGGUGCAAGCUCCGAAUUGAAGCCCAGGUAAACGGCGGCCGUAACGAUAACGGUCCUAAGGUAGCGAAAUUCCUUGUCGGGUAAGUUCCGACCUGCACGAAUGGCGUAACGACUUCCCCACUGUCUCCAGGAUAUGCUCAGCGAAAUUGAAUUCUCCGUGAAGAUGCGGAGUACCCGCGGUUAGACGGAAAGACCCCGUGCACCUUUACUGCAGCUUCAGAGUGGCAUUAGGAAAGAGUUGUGUAGCAUAGGUGGGAGGCUUUGAAUCUUGGGCGCCAGUCCAAGGGGAGCCAUAGGUGAAAUACCACCCUGCUGUUUUCUGAUGUCUAACCAACUACCGUUAUCCGGUAGUGGGACCCUCUGUGGCGGGUAGUUUGACUGGGGCGGUCGCCUCCUAAAGAGUAACGGAGGCGCGCGAUGGUAGGCUCAGGCCGGUUGGAAACCGGCUGCGAGAGUGCAAUGGCAUAAGCCUGCCUGACUGCGAGGCCGACGGGCCGAGCAGAGACGAAAGUCGGUCAUAGUGAUCCGGUGGUCCCGAGUGGAAGGGCCAUCGCUCAACGGAUAAAAGGUACGCCGGGGAUAACAGGCUGAUGGUGCCCAAGAGUCCAUAUCGACGGCACCGUUUGGCACCUCGAUGUCGGCUCAUCUCAUCCUGGGGC
RNAcentral lists this ribosomal RNA (689 nucleotides) under Lingulaulax polyedra. RNAcentral's name for it is "Lingulodinium polyedra partial Bacterial large subunit ribosomal RNA". It matches the Rfam family "Bacterial large subunit ribosomal RNA", at positions 1857 to 2553 of the family's 2925-position model. The record is from RNAcentral. Lineage: Eukaryota; Dinophyceae; Gonyaulacales; Lingulodiniaceae.